GUAACCACUAGGCAAGAUGCUGGCAAGCUAAUUACCUUUUACCUGGCUUUCCAUCUCAGUCUAGCAGCAUUAUUGG
Molecule: microRNA precursor, 76 nt
Filed under: Xenopus tropicalis (tropical clawed frog)
Lineage: Eukaryota; Metazoa; Chordata; Amphibia; Anura; Pipidae
Description: microRNA xtr-mir-31b precursor
Gene: xtr-mir-31b
Source: miRBase by way of RNAcentral